RNAcentral lists this ribosomal RNA (253 nucleotides) under uncultured bacterium. RNAcentral describes it as "partial 16S ribosomal RNA". It matches the Rfam family "Bacterial small subunit ribosomal RNA", at positions 524 to 776 of the family's 1533-position model. The record is from RNAcentral.
AACGUAGGGGGCGAGCGUUGUCCGGAAUUACUGGGCGUAAAGGGCGUGUAGGUGGCCUGUGAAGUCGAAAGUGAAAACCUGGGGCUCAACCCCGGGCCUGCUUUCGAAACCAGCAGGCUUGAGGACAGGAGAGGGAAGCGGAAUUCCCAGUGUAGCGGUGAAAUGCGUAGAUAUUGGGAGGAACACCAGUGGCGAAAGCGGCUUUCUGGCCUGUAACUGACACUGAGGCGCGUAAGCGUGGGGAGCAAACCGG